AUCACUUCUUGUGAAGUUUAUUGUGAGCCUUCAACACUGACAAGAUGGUGAAGUUUGAUUGGGAAUUGUGAUGGUUAAAGAUGGCAAGAAGAAAGAAUAAAGCCAGGAGGAAGCGUUAAGGCUGAAUAAUAGACAACUGGGUGUUGAAAUACAGAAGAGGAAGUGGAGUGUGAAUAUGAGCAACAGAGACAGCAAGAGGACAGCAAAGACCUGGAGAAAACAGAAAAGGCUCAAGUAAUUUCAGAAUGUUAAAGGGAGCUGCAAUGGGCAGGAGGCAAAAGAAGAAACAAAACCUGUGACCCCACUUAUACCCCUUAAUUAUCACUGGCUUUCCAGCUGUGGAUUGUACAUGUCUCCUGCUCAAUUGACUUGCUGUCCCUUUCCCCAAACCACUUUACCUCUGUUUCUAUAGGGGAAGCUUUCUAGUUUUAUCAGUUGUAUUUCUUUUAAUUGAAAAGUGACAUGGUUUUGGCAAACUCGUUUUCUGUCAGCGAGAAGCUGGUUAGUUCUUUGGUUGGUUCCACUUCCCUGGGAAUUAGCACUAAUUGAUUUCUUGUUCAAAAUCACUGCACUCGAGGGGCCUGUCUUUCUUGCUAAAACAAGUCUAAACCAAACUACA
Non-coding RNA from Meleagris gallopavo (turkey), 619 nucleotides. NCBI's taxonomy places the organism in Eukaryota, Metazoa, Chordata, Aves, Galliformes, Phasianidae. The record is from RefSeq and is a predicted model, not a curated record.